GUACCAUCAGCAUCCAAAUUUUCAAGUAUACAGAAAUUUAACUUUCCGGAAUAUAACGGAAAUUUUCGGGUAUCUCCGUGGUACCAUCUCCGUGCAAUUAUGCAGUAUGGCGUUCAUCUCUUACAGAAAGAGAAUGGUAACUUGAUACACUGUGUUGUGUGUGGAUAAGAAAUGCAGAGUGGUACCACCAAUCACCUAAGCCACCAUUCCCCUAACAGACAAAAGGCUCAUGGGGACAGUUCCUGCAGUUUACAGCAAAUUGUAGCCCUACAAACUUCAGAUACUGCCAAGCUUGGGUGCACUGGGCCGGUUAUCCAGCCGUGUGGAAUCAACAUCUCCAGCUGAACUUGGGCCGGGAAUUAUAUAAGAAUCCUUAGCAGCAUGAGUGCCAGCCAGUCAUUGCUGUUCUUUGCAUUCUCGACUUUCCAAUAGACCAUAAUCCUUUGCGGCAUGGUGACUUCCGGUUUAUUUCCGGGUUAUGACGGAUUACAGUAACAGCGAUAAAUACGGACAAAUUAUCAUUCCAGAUAUGAUUCAAAUAUGCUGAUGUUACCUUCUGAGAUCAUUACUUUCAAUGAAGAACAUCACUACAAUUGGUUGGGCUGCUAGAUUGGUAGCAACGUGAUGGACAGCUAGUACCUGACAUGCUAUUGUUGGUUUGGCAUCUAUUGCUUACUGGGCCGCUAUAUUGGAUGGACCAUACGUGUUGGUUGAACAAUUAUAAAUGGUUGGACUGGAAGUGUUGGUUGGACCACCAGUGUUGUUUGGACUGCUUGUUGGACAGAAUGUGUGAUAGACAACUAGUGUUAUUUGAAUCACUGUUGGGUCAUAUUGGUUUGAUUCCCAUUGCUAGUACUUGUUGGAUCUCUUUUGUUGGUUGAACUGUUGUUUUUUGACUGUUAUUAUUGAUAUUCAUACAUGUAUAAUAUGUUAAGUGCUUAGUAUUCAACACUUAUUAUUAUUAUUGUUAUCAUAAGAAAUAUUAUUAUUCAAAAAUCAUAUAAAUAUAUAAAAUUAAAUAUUUUUUAUGUCCUUGUACUUUAGUUAUGUUUUACAUUUACAAUGUGCAUCAUAAUGUCUUAUUAUAUGAACAACUCUUUUUAUAGAUA
Molecule: long non-coding RNA, 1109 nt
Organism: Mya arenaria
Lineage: Eukaryota; Metazoa; Mollusca; Bivalvia; Myida; Myidae
Exons: 5
Source: RefSeq, a predicted model, not a curated record